CGCUGGGUGCAAGUUGUUUGUUCGUUUGUGUGCAGCCACUGAAGACGAUUGUUUUUUAUAUUCCUAUUGCUUUGAUAAACCUAGUUUCAUAACCGAGGGAAAUGCUUACCCACAUUGUGUUGUGAUAACCCGUCCCUCUUCACGAAAAACCCCACGCAUAUCACAAGUAUCAAGAAGGGUUUGUGGCACCAUUGACGGGGAAUAUCAUCACCAACUACCAAGUAACUUCAAACAAAUUUCCAAUCACUUGUUAUUCUUUUUAUUUGUUAGUAUAUUUAGCUUAUCUCAUAAAAACAAAAGAAAAAAA
Molecule: long non-coding RNA, 307 nt
Filed under: Hordeum vulgare
Lineage: Eukaryota; Viridiplantae; Streptophyta; Magnoliopsida; Poales; Poaceae
Description: long non-coding RNA (HVUL_LNC000898)
Source: RNAcentral